This 588-nucleotide long non-coding RNA is filed under the name Homo sapiens (human). RNAcentral describes it as "non-protein coding lnc-COL4A3BP-3:3". Lineage: Eukaryota; Metazoa; Chordata; Mammalia; Primates; Hominidae. The record is from RNAcentral.
GCAGAGCGAGGAGUCGGGAUUUGGUCGCGAGCGGCGACGAGCAUUUGUGCAGAAUGUCAUCAGAUGAGGAGAAAUACUCACUUCCAGUUGUGCAAAAUGACUCCAGUCGAGGCAGUUCUGUCUCUUCGAAUCUUCAGAAAAUAUUGAUGAACUCUUCAUACACUCUGUACAAAGGCUUCAACCAACACAGUAAGAGGAAGAAUAUGAAGAACUGCUUCAUUAUGCUAUAGUGACUCCAAAUAUUGAACCCUGUGCUUCACAGUCAUCUCAUCCUAAGGGAGAAUUGGUGCCAGAUGUCAGAAUUUCUACAAUUCAUGAUAUUCUUCAUAGUCAAGGUUAUAUAUAUUUUUCAAGAUAUCUCUUAAUUUAAAAUAUUACUGAGUUUAUUAAUGAUACUGACAGGAUUGUGAAAAUGCCUGUCCAGAUCAGUGAUUCUUCUCAACCAUUUAUGUGUAUUAGUAUCAUCUAGGGGAGCUUUUUACAUUUUAAUAUAUUAUUCCUGACUCUCGUGUGACAGCUUGAUUUUUCUUUGAACUUCAUUUGACUCUUACUUUUAUGAAGAAUAAUAAAGUUGAAGCAAUGCUAUGG